GGAAACCUCAAUUAUCUCUGCUUUUAUGUAUGAUUGUUGGAAAUGAUGGUGGAGAUGAUUGCAUGCCAUACGAGAUUCUUGAACUUGUUAAAUCAUACCAGUUGAGUACUUUCAUCACAAAAGUUUGCAAAUAUGCUGCAACAUCAAAAGAAGAAUGGGAUGAACAAUGCAAGCUCUGGCCUACUUCGUAUCAUCCACCAACCUACAACAUCAGUGGCAUUACUGGAUUUAGUGAAGAGGAGUCACAAUCAGUUUUCAGCUUCAUGAGACACACCAUUAAUUUGGCAACAUCUUCUAUUGGUCAGGUGGUCAAUGCUGCUGUUAUUG
RNAcentral lists this unclassified non-coding RNA (327 nucleotides) under Hevea brasiliensis (rubber tree). The record is from RNAcentral. Lineage: Eukaryota; Viridiplantae; Streptophyta; Magnoliopsida; Malpighiales; Euphorbiaceae.